This 207-nucleotide ribosomal RNA is filed under the name uncultured bacterium. RNAcentral describes it as "partial 16S ribosomal RNA". It matches the Rfam family "Bacterial small subunit ribosomal RNA", at positions 568 to 774 of the family's 1533-position model. The record is from RNAcentral.
CGUGUAGGCGGCCAGGUAAGUCUGCUGUGAAAACUCGAGGCUUAACCUCGAGAUGUCGGCGGAAACUAUCUGGCUAGAGUCCGGAAGAGGAGAAUGGAAUUCCCGGUGUAGCGGUGAAAUGCGCAGAUAUCGGGAAGAACACCCGUGGCGAAGGCGGUUCUCUGGGACGGUACUGACGCUGAGACGCGAAAGCGUGGGGAGCGAACA